CUUGGCGACCAUAGCGGCGUGGUCCCACCCGAUCCCAUCCCGAACUCGGCAGUGAAACGCGCCAGCGCCAAUGGUAGUGUGCAUCCGCAUGCGAGAGUAGGUCAUCGCCAAGC
Molecule: ribosomal RNA, 113 nt
Filed under: Rhodanobacteraceae bacterium
Lineage: Bacteria; Pseudomonadati; Pseudomonadota; Gammaproteobacteria; Lysobacterales; Rhodanobacteraceae
Source: RNAcentral